This 138-nucleotide small nucleolar RNA is filed under the name Carlito syrichta (Philippine tarsier). RNAcentral's name for it is "Small nucleolar RNA SNORA57 (ENSTSYG00000024272.2)". It matches the Rfam family "Small nucleolar RNA SNORA57". From Rfam's summary of the family: U99 belongs to the H/ACA class of snoRNAs which are thought to guide the sites of modification of uridines to pseudouridines, the target for this family is unknown. Lineage: Eukaryota; Metazoa; Chordata; Mammalia; Primates; Tarsiidae. The record is from Rfam by way of RNAcentral.
UUUCUUUUCUUGUUGGGGACUGGGCAUGUGGUCAAGCUUCUUGUUAUGUACUGAGACAGAGAGAAAGGACUCUAGCUAGUGGCCUGACAGCUGGUGGCUUUCUGUCUAUUGGUUUUAUCUUCAAGCACUGAAACAUCA